Molecule: ribosomal RNA, 489 nt
Filed under: uncultured bacterium
Lineage: Bacteria
Description: partial 16S ribosomal RNA
Rfam family: Bacterial small subunit ribosomal RNA
Source: RNAcentral
GACGAACGCUGGCGGCGUGCUUAACACAUGCAAGUCGAACGGUGAAGGGAUCAGCUUGCUGGUUCUGGCUGAGUGGCGAACGGGUGAGUAACACGUGAGUAACCUGCCCCCUUCUUCUGGAUAACCGCAUGAAAGUGUGGCUAAUACGGGAUAUUCUGCGCCUGCUGCAUGGUGGGUGUGGGAAAGAUAUUGUUUCGGUGGGGGAUGGGCUCGCGGCCUAUCAGCUUGUUGGUGGGGUGAUGGCCUACCAAGGCGGUGACGGGUAGCCGGCCUGAGAGGGUGGACGGUCACACUGGGACUGAGACACGGCCCAGACUCCUACGGGAGGCAGCAGUGGGGAAUAUUGCACAAUGGGCGCAAGCCUGAUGCAGCGACGCCGCGUGAGGGAUGGAGGCCUUCGGGUUGUGAACCUCUUUCGCCAGUGAAGCAGGCCUGUCCCUUGUGGGUGGGUUGACGGUAGCUGGAUAAGAAGCGCCGGCUAACUACGUG